UACGAAGGGGGCUAGCGUUGUUCGGAAUUACUGGGCGUAAAGGGCGCGUAGGCGGCCGCCUAAGUCAGACGUGAAAUCCCUCGGCUCAACCGGGGAACUGCGUCUGAUACUGGGUGGCUUGAAUCCGGGAGAGGGAUGUGGAAUUCCAGGUGUAGCGGUGAAAUGCGUAGAUAUCUGGAGGAACACCGGUGGCGAAGGCGGCAUCCUGGACCGGUAUUGACGCUGAGGCGCGAAAGCCAGGGGAGCAAACGGG
Molecule: ribosomal RNA, 253 nt
Filed under: uncultured bacterium
Lineage: Bacteria
Description: partial 16S ribosomal RNA
Rfam family: Bacterial small subunit ribosomal RNA
Source: RNAcentral